UGGCCUGAUGACACCAGUAAUAGGCUGUGCCCUCAGAAGCGUUAACUGACCAUGUUCAUGUGUGUGUGGGG
Molecule: small nucleolar RNA, 71 nt
Organism: Oryctolagus cuniculus (rabbit)
Lineage: Eukaryota; Metazoa; Chordata; Mammalia; Lagomorpha; Leporidae
Source: Ensembl